AGGAAGUAAAAGUCGUAACAAGGUUUCCGUAGGUGAACCUGCGGAAGGAUCAUUAGAAUGAGAUUCGGUCCGAGGGCUUAAAAACCUUAGGGCCGUCAACCUCCACCCUUGUGUAUCAUUCAAUUGUUGCUUUGGUGGGCCGCGACCCGCACGGGGAGCACCGGCUUCAGCUGGAGAGUGCCUGCCAGAGAACCCCAACUCUGUAUUUUGUAACAUCUGAGUACUAUACAAUAGUUAAAACUUUCAACAACGGAUCUCUUGGUUCUGGCAUCGAUGAAGAACGCAGCGAAAUGCGAUAAGUAAUGUGAAUUGCAGAAUUCAGUGAAUCAUCGAAUCUUUGAACGCACAUUGCGCCCUCUGGUAUUCCGGGGGGCAUGCCUGUUCGAGCGUCAUUAUGACCAAUCACGCAAGUGGUAUUGGGGCUUGCCGUCGGCAUCCCUUAAAAUCAGUGGCAGUGCUAUAGGCUCUCAGCGCAGUAAUUAUUUCGCUCUUGAGUCCUAGACCCACCCGCCAAAACCCCAACUAUUUUAAGGUUGACCUCGGAUCAGGUAGGGAUACCCGCUGAACUUAAGCAUAUC
This 578-nucleotide ribosomal RNA is filed under the name Arachnopeziza aurata. RNAcentral's name for it is "eukaryotic LSU rRNA". The stretch from base 239 to 392 matches the Rfam family "5.8S ribosomal RNA". Lineage: Eukaryota; Fungi; Ascomycota; Leotiomycetes; Helotiales; Arachnopezizaceae. The record is from RNAcentral.